RNAcentral lists this ribosomal RNA (482 nucleotides) under uncultured bacterium. RNAcentral describes it as "partial 16S ribosomal RNA". It matches the Rfam family "Bacterial small subunit ribosomal RNA", at positions 28 to 507 of the family's 1533-position model. The record is from RNAcentral.
GACGAACGCUGGCGGCGUGCUUAACACAUGCAAGUCGAACGAUGAAGAAGAGAAACGCGAACUUCGGUUCAAAUUUCACUUCGGAUUAGUGGCAGACGGGUGAGUAACGCGUGAGCAACCUACCUCUUACAAAGGGAUAGCCACGGGAAACCGUGAUUAAUACCAUAUGACACAUUCAUAAGGCAUCUUAAGAAUGUUAAAGCUACGGCGGUAAGAGAUGGGCUCGCGUCCCAUUAGCUAGUUGGUGAGGUAACGGCCCACCAAGGCGACGAUGGGUAACCGGCCUGAGAGGGUGAACGGUCACAUUGGAACUGAGACACGGUCCAAACUCCUACGGGAGGCAGCAGUGGGGAAUAUUGCACAAUGGAGGGAACUCUGAUGCAGCGACGCCGCGUGAGCGAUGAAGGAAUUCGUUUCGUAAAGCUCUGUUCUAUGGGAAGAAAAGGACUGUACCAUAGGAGAAAGCCCCGGCUAAAUACGUG